This 497-nucleotide ribosomal RNA is filed under the name uncultured bacterium. Its description in RNAcentral is "partial 16S ribosomal RNA". It matches the Rfam family "Bacterial small subunit ribosomal RNA", at positions 28 to 508 of the family's 1533-position model. The record is from RNAcentral.
GAUGAACGCUGGCGGCGUGCCUAAUACAUGCAAGUCGAGCGAACAGACGAGGAGCUUGCUCCUUUGACGUUAGCGGCGGACGGGUGAGUAACACGUAGGUAACCUACCUAUAAGACUGGGAUAACUUCGGGAAACCGGAGCUAAUACCGGAUAAUAUUUCGAACCGCAUGGUUCGAUAGUGAAAGAUGGCUUUGCUAUCACUUAUAGAUGGACCUGCGCCGUAUUAGCUAGUUGGUAAGGUAACGGCUUACCAAGGCAACGAUACGUAGCCGACCUGAGAGGGGGACGGGCCACAUGGGAAGUGAGACACGGCCGCCACUCCUGGGGGGGCAAGAGGUGGGGACUCUCCGACAGGGGGCGAAGGCCUGACGGAGCACCGCCGGGGGAGUGAUGAGGGUUUUCGGAUGUAAAAAUUUUUUUAUGGGGAAAAAAAAAAGGUGUAAGUACGUGUGCGCGUCUGGAGGUAACCUAAUAAAAAGCCCACGGCUAACUCGGGC